This 513-nucleotide ribosomal RNA is filed under the name uncultured bacterium. RNAcentral's name for it is "bacterial SSU rRNA". It matches the Rfam family "Bacterial small subunit ribosomal RNA", at positions 15 to 518 of the family's 1533-position model. The record is from RNAcentral.
GAUCCUGGCUUAGGAUGAACGCUAGCUACAGGCUUAACACAUGCAAGUCGAGGGGCAGCAUAAUCGAAGCUUGCUUGAUGAUGGCGACCGGCGCACGGGUGAGUAACGCGUAUCCAACCUUCCCCAUACUAGAGGAUAGCCCGGCGAAAGUCGGAUUAAUACUCUAUGUUGUAUUUAGAAGACAUCUGAAGAAUACCAAAGGUUUACCGGUAUGGGAUGGGGAUGCGUCUGAUUAGCUUGUUGGCGGGGUAACGGCCCACCAAGGCAACGAUCAGUAGGGGUUCUGAGAGGAAGGUCCCCCACAUUGGUACUGAGACACGGACCAAACUCCUACGGGAGGCAGCAGUGAGGAAUAUUGGUCAAUGGGCGAGAGCCUGAACCAGCCAAAGUAGCGUGCAGGAUGACGGCCCUAUGGGUUGUAAACUGCUUUUGUACGGGAAUAAAGUCAGGGACGUGUCCCUGUUUGUAUGUACCGUAAGAAUAAGGACCGGCUAAUUCCGUGCCAGCCGCGGC